UGAGAAUGAACUCCCGAGUACACUGCUUGCAGCCCGUGACUGGAAUGUUAAUUUCGUCCUGCGUCCCCGGCUGGCUCCCUUCAACGACAAUCUUCCUUUGAAGACGUGGAUGACAUAGUAAAACCGAUUGCACUUGAGAGCCGAUUCCAUGACUAUUUUGCUGCAACAGCUCAACAGCCUUUUGUUCCAGAGCGUGUUACGGUUUCACAGAGGAGAGGGAGACUCGAGGCUGCAUGACUUGGUAUCACCUUGGAGAGGAUGAAUUUGUUUGAACGAGACUUGCAGGUGUUCUCUUGGAAAACUUCAAAACUCAACAGGGCUGCGAGACAGGAGCAUUCUGCAAAUUUCAGCUGCUUCACUAGCUUCUCCUGUUUGUUGCUGAACCGAUUAUCCUGUUCUGCACUUGUUCCGCGGAAGAAUCCCGAGUCCCAUCUUCUGCCUCGCUCGGACCUGAUAUUUGUUCUUUAUUCUCCUAAAGCGGUUAAUGAAAAAUUCACUCCCAGAAGUGAACGACUUUUACCUAGUUUGGGGCCUGUGCUCCUGAUAGAAUAUGAGGAGGACUAG
Molecule: long non-coding RNA, 564 nt
Filed under: Canis lupus familiaris (dog)
Lineage: Eukaryota; Metazoa; Chordata; Mammalia; Carnivora; Canidae
Description: lncRNA (ENSCAFG00845004096.1)
Source: RNAcentral